Trematomus bernacchii (emerald rockcod) is the source of this 391-nucleotide long non-coding RNA. RefSeq lists it as uncharacterized. The transcript is spliced from 2 exons. Lineage: Eukaryota; Metazoa; Chordata; Actinopteri; Perciformes; Nototheniidae. The record is from RefSeq and is a predicted model, not a curated record.
AUUAACUUCCCAGAGGAUGAAGUGGUACGCGGGUCGGAGGGAGAUAUCGAAGAGAUUGGUGGACCAUCUAACCUAGGUCCCACCAUGCCUUUACCCCGCGCAGCUUCACCCCUCGCCCCCAGCAAAGCCCCUUCCCCCCCCCCUGGAGAUGACAAUGAGCCCGUCAGCGUCACCAUCACCGUCAAAGCUACGGGCUCAUAAUCGUACCUGGAAAUCACUCGAUUGUAAUUUAACCUGGAAUGGAUAGUUUUUUGUUGACAGUUUGUAAUGUAUGUAUGUACAGCCUGUGACUAACAUCUCAACUUAACUACAACAGUUCUCCUAAUAUCACUCAGUGAUUCAGCAUGGACAUAACGAUGCAUUGAUUUUUAAAUUAAACUAUAUGAAUGUA